GUCGGGAUAGCUCAGCUGGUAGAGCAGGGCCC
Molecule: transfer RNA, 32 nt
Filed under: Artocarpus thailandicus
Lineage: Eukaryota; Viridiplantae; Streptophyta; Magnoliopsida; Rosales; Moraceae
Description: partial tRNA-Phe
Source: RNAcentral